AGUGUACCAGGCAUUGCUCUAACCGUUUUACACAUUUACAUGCUAUAACUCCAAAAUUAUCGUUACCCCCUUUUACGAAUGAAGAGACUAAGACCUAGAAAUGUGAAGUACAUUUACCUGAACUCAUCACCUUCCCACCCCCAUCCCAUCGACUCUGUGCUGUAUCCUGAACCGGCUGACAGAACAAUGAUGUAGACUUGACUUGUUUUCGCCAACCUGGAAUGAAGCAAAGCUCUUGUGCACCCAAGAUCUGCUCUCUGUUGUAAAUCCUGUUCAGACCUGGUCUAAUUGGUUUGAAUAAAUAAAGAACCGGAAUCUUUCUCAUCCAAACUAGUUGCCAGCAUAUUUUUAAGGCCACCUCCCUUCAAAUUUAAAAGGAAGUGUUGAAUGUACUGUCACUAUAAAUUAAAAGCCCUGGAAAUUCACACGCAAGGAGGCAUUCUUUCUCCCAGGGGCACAAAAUUGUUUAAAAUUUGCAGAUAGGGUUAUUAAACACGAAGAUCCUUUUGCUA
RNAcentral lists this long non-coding RNA (512 nucleotides) under Homo sapiens (human). RNAcentral describes it as "non-protein coding lnc-CCKAR-1:13". Lineage: Eukaryota; Metazoa; Chordata; Mammalia; Primates; Hominidae. The record is from RNAcentral.